CCUACGGGUGGCAGCAGUGAGGAAUAUUGGUCAAUGGCCGAGAGGCUGAACCAGCCAAGUCGCGUGAGGGAAGACGGCCCUACGGGUUGUAAACCUCUUUUGUCGGGGAGCAAAGCGACCCUAGUGUGGUUCAUUGAGAGUACCCGAAGAAAAAGCAUCGGCUAACUCCGUGCCAGCAGCCGCGGUAAUACGGAGGAUGCGAGCUUUAUCCGGAUUUAUUGGGGUUAAAGGGUGCGCAGGCGGAGGUGCACGUCAGCGGUCAAAUAGCGGGGCUCAACCCCGUACUGCCGUUGAACCUGCAUCCCUUGAGUGCGCGAGAAGUAUGCGGAAUGCGUGGUGUAGCGGUGAAAUGCAUAGAUAUCACGCAGAACUCCGAUGGCGAAGGCAGCAUACCGGCGCGCAACUGACGCUCAUGCACGAAAGCGUGGGUAUCGAACAGGAUUAGAUACCCUAGUAGUC
RNAcentral lists this ribosomal RNA (459 nucleotides) under uncultured bacterium. RNAcentral describes it as "partial 16S ribosomal RNA". It matches the Rfam family "Bacterial small subunit ribosomal RNA", at positions 338 to 795 of the family's 1533-position model. The record is from RNAcentral.